UGGGGAAUCUUGCGCAAUGGGGGCAACCCUGACGCAGCGACGCCGCGUGCGGGACGAAGGCCUUCGGGUCGUAAACCGCUUUCAGCAGGGACGAGGCCGCGAGGUGACGGUACCUGCAGAAGAAGCCCCGGCUAACUACGUGCCAGCAGCCGCGGUAAUACGUAGGGGGCGAGCGUUAUCCGGAUUCAUUGGGCGUAAAGCGCUCGUAGGCUGCCCGCUAGGUCCGGGGUCAAAUCCGGGGGCUCAACCCCCGCACGCCCCGGAUACCGGCGGGCUUGAGUCGGGUAGGGGAAGGCGGAAUUCCAGGUGUAGCGGUGGAAUGCGCAGAUAUCUGGAAGAACACCGGUGGCGAAGGCGGCCUUCUGGGCCUCGACUGACGCUGAGGAGCGAAAGCUGGGGG
This 400-nucleotide ribosomal RNA is filed under the name uncultured bacterium. Its description in RNAcentral is "bacterial SSU rRNA". It matches the Rfam family "Bacterial small subunit ribosomal RNA", at positions 355 to 766 of the family's 1533-position model. The record is from RNAcentral.